This 1403-nucleotide ribosomal RNA is filed under the name Klebsiella pneumoniae. RNAcentral's name for it is "bacterial SSU rRNA". It matches the Rfam family "Bacterial small subunit ribosomal RNA". RNAcentral also lists the same sequence under 1 other name. The record is from RNAcentral. Lineage: Bacteria; Pseudomonadati; Pseudomonadota; Gammaproteobacteria; Enterobacterales; Enterobacteriaceae.
UGCAGUCGAGCGGUAGCACAGAGAGCUUGCUCUCGGGUGACGAGCGGCGGACGGGUGAGUAAUGUCUGGGAAACUGCCUGAUGGAGGGGGAUAACUACUGGAAACGGUAGCUAAUACCGCAUAACGUCGCAAGACCAAAGUGGGGGACCUUCGGGCCUCAUGCCAUCAGAUGUGCCCAGAUGGGAUUAGCUAGUAGGUGGGGUAACGGCUCACCUAGGCGACGAUCCCUAGCUGGUCUGAGAGGAUGACCAGCCACACUGGAACUGAGACACGGUCCAGACUCCUACGGGAGGCAGCAGUGGGGAAUAUUGCACAAUGGGCGCAAGCCUGAUGCAGCCAUGCCGCGUGUGUGAAGAAGGCCUUCGGGUUGUAAAGCACUUUCAGCGGGGAGGAAGGCGUUAAGGUUAAUAACCUUGGCGAUUGACGUUACCCGCAGAAGAAGCACCGGCUAACUCCGUGCCAGCAGCCGCGGUAAUACGGAGGGUGCAAGCGUUAAUCGGAAUUACUGGGCGUAAAGCGCACGCAGGCGGUCUGUCAAGUCGGAUGUGAAAUCCCCGGGCUCAACCUGGGAACUGCAUUCGAAACUGGCAGGCUAGAGUCUUGUAGAGGGGGGUAGAAUUCCAGGUGUAGCGGUGAAAUGCGUAGAGAUCUGGAGGAAUACCGGUGGCGAAGGCGGCCCCCUGGACAAAGACUGACGCUCAGGUGCGAAAGCGUGGGGAGCAAACAGGAUUAGAUACCCUGGUAGUCCACGCCGUAAACGAUGUCGAUUUGGAGGUUGUGCCCUUGAGGCGUGGCUUCCGGAGCUAACGCGUUAAAUCGACCGCCUGGGGAGUACGGCCGCAAGGUUAAAACUCAAAUGAAUUGACGGGGGCCCGCACAAGCGGUGGAGCAUGUGGUUUAAUUCGAUGCAACGCGAAGAACCUUACCUGGUCUUGACAUCCACAGAACUUUCCAGAGAUGGAUUGGUGCCUUCGGGAACUGUGAGACAGGUGCUGCAUGGCUGUCGUCAGCUCGUGUUGUGAAAUGUUGGGUUAAGUCCCGCAACGAGCGCAACCCUUAUCCUUUGUUGCCAGCGGUUCGGCCGGGAACUCAAAGGAGACUGCCAGUGAUAAACUGGAGGAAGGUGGGGAUGACGUCAAGUCAUCAUGGCCCUUACGACCAGGGCUACACACGUGCUACAAUGGCAUAUACAAAGAGAAGCGACCUCGCGAGAGCAAGCGGACCUCAUAAAGUAUGUCGUAGUCCGGAUUGGAGUCUGCAACUCGACUCCAUGAAGUCGGAAUCGCUAGUAAUCGUAGAUCAGAAUGCUACGGUGAAUACGUUCCCGGGCCUUGUACACACCGCCCGUCACACCAUGGGAGUGGGUUGCAAAAGAAGUAGGUAGCUUAACCUUCGGGAGGGCG